AAACAAUAUGGCGUCGUAAGGUAGAUAUUUUCGUCGAAAGUUAAAUGUUAUUAUACCUCUAUAAAUAGUAAAGAACAAAAUUACCAGACCUGACUGUAUUUGUCAGACAUAUGAGACAGGAGCUCAGCGUUCAAACAGUGGUUUGAAAAGGACAGGGUGCUAAACUGAAAACGUGCACUUUAGCCCGCAAAACGGUUAAAAAUAGACAGUAACAGUUUGUGUGUGUUUCACUAAUUCACAUACUAGCCAACUAUAAGAGCACACACAAACUACUUAAAUAAUUAUUACAAUUAAUUCCCCAUUGCAACA
RNAcentral lists this long non-coding RNA (309 nucleotides) under Mytilus galloprovincialis (Mediterranean mussel). Lineage: Eukaryota; Metazoa; Mollusca; Bivalvia; Mytilida; Mytilidae. The record is from RNAcentral.